This 395-nucleotide ribosomal RNA is filed under the name uncultured bacterium. RNAcentral's name for it is "bacterial SSU rRNA". It matches the Rfam family "Bacterial small subunit ribosomal RNA", at positions 505 to 898 of the family's 1533-position model. The record is from RNAcentral.
GUGUCAGCAGCCGCGGUAAUACGGAGGGUGCGAGCGUUGUCCGGAAUCACUGGGCGUAAAGGGCGCGUAGGUGGCACAGCAAGCGUGCGGUGAAAGCCCGGGGCUCAACUCCGGGUCGGCCGUGCGAACUGCGGUGCUGGAGCAUGGUAGAGGCAGGUGGAAUUCCGGGUGUAGCGGUGGAAUGCGUAGAGAUCCGGAAGAACACCGGUGGCGAAGGCGGCCUGCUGGGCCAUGGCUGACACUGAGGCGCGACAGCGUGGGGAGCAAACAGGAUUAGAUACCCUGGUAGUCCACGCCGUAAACGAUGGGCACUAGGUGCUUGGGGGAGCGACCCCCUGGGUGCCGGCGCUAACGCAUGAAGUGCCCCGCCUGGGGAGUACGGCCGCAAGGCUGAA